AGUGAACGCUGGCGGUAGGCCUAACACAUGCAAGUCGAACGGCAGCACAGUAAGAGCUUGCUCUUACGGGUGGCGAGUGGCGGACGGGUGAGGAAUACAUCGGAAUCUACUUUUUCGUGGGGGAUAACGUAGGGAAACUUACGCUAAUACCGCAUAUGACCUACGGGUGAAAGCAGGGGAUCUUCGGACCUUGCGCGAUUGAAUGAGCCGAUGUCGGAUUAGCUAGUUGGCGGGGUAAAGGCCCACCAAGGCGACGAUCCGUAGCUGGUCUGAGAGGAUGAUCAGCCACACUGGAACUGAGACACGGUCCAGACUACUACGGGAGGCAGCAGUGGGGAAUAUUGGACAAUGGGCGCAGGCCUGAUCCAGCCAUACCGCGUGGGUGAAGAAGGCCUUCGGGUUGUAAAGCCCUUUUGUUGGGAAAGAAAAGCAGCAGGUUAAUACCCCGCUGUUCUGACGGUACCCAAAGAAUAAGCACCGGCUAACUUCGUG
Molecule: ribosomal RNA, 492 nt
Filed under: uncultured bacterium
Lineage: Bacteria
Description: partial 16S ribosomal RNA
Rfam family: Bacterial small subunit ribosomal RNA
Source: RNAcentral